Molecule: ribosomal RNA, 1395 nt
Filed under: Triticum aestivum (bread wheat)
Lineage: Eukaryota; Viridiplantae; Streptophyta; Magnoliopsida; Poales; Poaceae
Description: partial small subunit ribosomal RNA
Source: RNAcentral
AUGGAUGGCAGUAGCUCCAGCAAGAGAAAAGCUGAAGCGCAGGGAGAGGGAGAGAGCAGCGGCAAAAGGCUGAAUGUCACCAUGGGGAUGGAGCACCUUGACUGCUCCCUCUGCUUGAAGCCCCUCAGGCCUCCAAUACUCCAGUGCUCCGUGGGGCAUUUCAUAUGCUCGUAUUGUUGUACGUCUCAACUGGACAGCAAGUGCCAUUUAUGCUCUAAAGAGACAACAUUCGAGCGCUGCUUUGGGAUGGAACAUGUUGUCGAGUCAGUCACAGUAGCUUGCUCCAAUGAGAUGUACGGAUGUGCCGAGGCAGUCACCUACUACAAGAAAGAAGAACACACGGAGGCAUGCUCAUACGCCCCAUGCUUCUGCCCAGAGCCUGGUUGUGGCUUCGCUGGAACAACAAAGGUGCUCCUGGAACAUUUCACGACCCAGCACAAGUGUCCAUUGACAACCCUCCCAGACUCUGGCACAGUGUCUCUCUGCUUGCAGCCGGGCUUACAUGUUUUGCAAUGCACCAGGAACAGCUACUUUUUCUUGCUCAGCAUGGCGUCAGAGCCUUUUGGACAUGCCAUCUCAGUCGUCUGUGUCGAACCAAACAGGAGGAAAUCGAAGUUCACAUGUAAUCUGAGUUAUGACUGCAUAACAACUGGCUGCUGUGGAAGUACAAACUGCCACAUAAGGAGCUCUUCACUCUCUGAUGGGCUUCCGACAGUGUAUGACUUAAUACUUCCCAAGGGAAAGGUUUCUGACGAUGCAAACAGUAUCAUGCUUAGAGCCACCAUUAAUCAUCAAACUAUAAGUCACAGCAGAUCUUGUUUUCGAGGGAAGGGCCUGACUUCUGCACUUCAACAAAGGCCUGAUACUUGUGAUGAUGAUGAUGAUGAUGAUGAUGAUGCGGAUUAUAUACCUAAAAGUCGUAGAAGAUCUCACCCUGCUAAGGAGGAGGAGGUGGUGGAGGAGGAUGAGAAUGAUGAGGACAAUGAGGAGGAGGAGGAGGAGGAGGAGGAGGAUGAAAGACCUUUAAGUCUCAGAAGAUCCCACCUUGCUGAGGAGGAGGAUGAAAGACCUUUACUUCUCAGAAGAUCCCACCCUGCUGUUCAACGAAGGCCCAAUACUUAUGAUGAUGAUGGGCAGGUGGAGGAGGACGAGGAGGAUGCUAGACCUGUAAGUGUCAGCAGACCCCGUCUUCGAGGAACGGCUCCGGCUCGUGGUGUUCAACAAAGGCACUAUUCUGAUACCGAUGAUGAUGAUUAUUUUCCAAUAGCUUUCAGGAGACGCCAUGUCCAAGGAACGCCUUCAGCUCCUGCAGUUCAAGAAAGGCACUAUUUUGACACCAGUGAUGAGGAUGAUUUACCUAUAGCUUUCAGACCCUUUAUUCGAGGAACGGCUUAG